UUCACAGAGCAGUGUGCUUGUUGGUAAAAAAAACGUUAUUAAGUAUCUAUAAGACUUAGCUAUCGACGGAUUAAAACUUGUAAAUUCAGUAAGCUACUAAGAAUAAGGAUGAAUCGGCUUGUUAUAUUUUGUGUUAUCUUCCUUGCGAGUUUCGUCAACUGCGAAGACGCGGAGACUAAAGAUGUGGUGGAAGGCAGGGGAAAGGCUAAAUACGCACUAUUAACCCACCUAGCAAUAAUAUUUGGCGCGAAAGUGGGACUGUACAAGAUAAUCCUAGGCAUAGCUCUUGUGGUGGCCAGUAUAAAAGCUAUGGUGGUGAUGGCCUGGGUGCUAGCCGCCUUUAAAUACAUUCCCGAUGCGUGGCCCUACUACAGGGACCAAGGGUUAAGGCCUUACAAUGAUAAGUUUUACCAACCGCCUGGUAACGCCUUCUUCGAUGUCUUAUUGAAUACACGUCAUUGAUUGUGCAUUUCUUCUACGUGGUGGCAACAAAACUAUUUGUCUUGAAGAUUGUAUACGGUAUUAUUUUCUACGUGAUAUUGACGAAGGCUUGGCACUUUGUUAUCUGGCUCAUACAUUACUUGAAAGAGAAGAAACACGAUCACUACGUGGAAUACGACCAUGGUGAACAUUAUUACGAUCAUCAUGACCAUCAUCACGAUUAUUACGACCAUCAACCCUACGGCAAACCGAGCUACGGCGAACCAAGCUACGGCAAACCGAGCUACGGCAAAAGCGACACCUAUGGGUUUAAAAAGUCUGCUAUUUACGACGCAGACGGAUCGUAUUCGGUCAAAAAAACUUAAAGCUAAAAAGUUUCAUAUACUAAUCAAUAUAGCUUGUUUUCUUCUACUCUAGAUUAUUCGUUUGAAUGUUGCCAAAGUUUUAGAUAAUUUUAGAUUUUUACGUAAUGUCUGUAGCUCGGGUAAUGAUAUUCAUUAAAGAUAAAUUUUAUGCCAACGUUGUAAUAUCAAUUUUACAAGACAGCCAUGUUUUAUAGUACACGUCUUUCAGCAUUGGUAGAAUUAUAUUAUUUGUAUCCAACAGUUCUCGUGUGCUUACGAAUUAUUCAUUAUUAUUAAAUAGAUACCAACUCUUGGAUGUUUAUAUUAGUAGUCGCGAUGUCUUUGGCUAGCUUUAUAUCAGUGUCAUAUUACUUACUAUAGCUCUUCAUCAUCAUCAUAAUCAUCAUCAACCAGCCCUUAUCUCUACGAAGGGUCGGCUCAGUACUCCCUCAUACAUUUUAAUUAGCUGUCAUAUCUGAACACCCAUAUCUUACGCAUAUUCUCUUUCACACAAUCCAUCCAUACUUUUUUUGGUCUUUCCUUAUAUUUGUAGGCAUCCACAUUCAAUCCCAUUACUUUUGUCCAAACCACGCCAAAUAUUCUACUUCUUAAUUUCUCCAUUACUGGCGCUACUUUUAAACUUUUAAAUUAAUAAAAGCCAUAGUAUUUAUUGAAUAUAA
Molecule: RNA transcript, 1465 nt
Organism: Papilio xuthus (Asian swallowtail)
Lineage: Eukaryota; Metazoa; Arthropoda; Insecta; Lepidoptera; Papilionidae
Exons: 3
Source: RefSeq, a predicted model, not a curated record